Molecule: non-coding RNA, 301 nt
Organism: Pelobates cultripes (western spadefoot toad)
Lineage: Eukaryota; Metazoa; Chordata; Amphibia; Anura; Pelobatidae
Source: the annotation of a GenBank genome assembly
AAAUAAUUAGGGAGCAUAUGACGAAUAUGCGCUGGAAAACCGGAAGUGACGUCAGAUGCCGGAACAGCCGAACUUCUGCCCACGUGAAUGGCUGUCUUACAAGCGGCAAAUUCAAAAGGCAUCAAGUUGGACAUCUUUUCAUGCACCAAGGAAAACUCGUGGAAACACGUCUUCAUGUGAGAAGGACUGUUUGUCACCAUCAAGGGACUUAUUUUACACAGUUUCUUUUACUUUGUUUUAAUACUUUGUUUCAAUACAUUUUUACUUUUUAUCACUAUUGCUGCACCUCCUGAUCCACAUG